This 666-nucleotide ribosomal RNA is filed under the name uncultured Enterobacteriaceae bacterium. RNAcentral's name for it is "SSU rRNA". It matches the Rfam family "Bacterial small subunit ribosomal RNA", at positions 66 to 723 of the family's 1533-position model. Lineage: Bacteria; Pseudomonadati; Pseudomonadota; Gammaproteobacteria; Enterobacterales; Enterobacteriaceae. The record is from RNAcentral.
GCGGUAGCACAGAGAGCUUGCUCUCGGGUGACGAGCGGCGGACGGGUGAGUAAUGUCUGGGAAACUGCCUGAUGGAGGGGGAUAACUACUGGAAACGGUAGCUAAUACCGCAUAAUGUCGCAAGACCAAAGUGGGGGACCUUCGGGCCUCAUGCCAUCAGAUGUGCCCAGAUGGGAUUAGCUAGUAGGUGGGGUAACGGCUCACCUAGGCGACGAUCCCUAGCUGGUCUGAGAGGAUGACCAGCCACACUGGAACUGAGACACGGUCCAGACUCCUACGGGAGGCAGCAGUGGGGAAUAUUGCACAAUGGGCGCAAGCCUGAUGCAGCCAUGCCGCGUGUGUGAAGAAGGCCUUCGGGUUGUAAAGCACUUUCAGCGGGGAGGAAGGCGGUGAGGUUAAUAACCUCAUCGAUUGACGUUACCCGCAGAAGAAGCACCGGCUAACUCCGUGCCAGCAGCCGCGGUAAUACGGAGGGUGCAAGCGUUAAUCGGAAUUACUGGGCGUAAAGCGCACGCAGGCGGUCUGUCAAGUCGGAUGUGAAAUCCCCGGGCUCAACCUGGGAACUGCAUUCGAAACUGGCAGGCCAGAGUCUUGUAGAGGGGGGUAGAAUUCCAGGUGUAGCGGUGAAAUGCGUAGAGAUCUGGAGGAAUACCGGUGGCGAAGGCG